GACGAACGCUGGCGGCGUGCUUAACACAUGCAAGUCGAGCGGUAAGGCCCUUUCGGGGGUACACGAGCGGCGAACGGGUGAGUAACACGUGGGUGACCUGCCCUCAGCUCUGGGAUAAGCCCGGGAAACCGGGUCUAAUACCGGAUAUGACUCCAUGACGCAUGUUGUGGGGUGGAAAGCCUUGUGCGGCUGAGGAUGGGCCCGCGGCCUAUCAGCUUGUUGGUGGGGUGAUGGCCACCAAGGCGACGACGGGUAGCCGGCCUGAGAGGGCGACCGGCCACACUGGGACUGAGAUACGGCCCAGACUCCUACGGGAGGCAGCAGUGGGGAAUCUUGCGCAAUGGGCGAAAGCCUGACGCAGCGACGCCGCGUGAGGGAUGACGGCCUCGGUUGUAA
RNAcentral lists this ribosomal RNA (396 nucleotides) under uncultured bacterium. Its description in RNAcentral is "bacterial SSU rRNA". It matches the Rfam family "Bacterial small subunit ribosomal RNA", at positions 28 to 428 of the family's 1533-position model. The record is from RNAcentral.